This 253-nucleotide ribosomal RNA is filed under the name uncultured bacterium. RNAcentral describes it as "partial 16S ribosomal RNA". It matches the Rfam family "Bacterial small subunit ribosomal RNA", at positions 524 to 776 of the family's 1533-position model. The record is from RNAcentral.
UACGAAGGGGGCUAGCGUUGCUCGGAAUGACUGGGCGUAAAGGGCGCGUAGGCGGCGUGACAAGUCACUUGUGAAAUCUCCGGGCUUAACCCGGAGCGGCCAAGUGAUACUGUCGUGCUAGAGUGCGGAAGGGGCUACUGGAAUUCUCGGUGUAGCGGUGAAAUGCGUAGAUAUCGAGGGGAACACCUGCGGCGAAGGCGGGUAGCUGGGCCGACACUGACGCUGAGGCGCGAAAGCCAGGGGAGCGAACGGG